GACGAACGCUGGCGGCGUGCUUAACACAUGCAAGUCGAACGAAGUGGCGAACGGGUGAGUAACGCGUAAUCAACCUGCCCUUCAUAGGGGGACAACAGUUGGAAACGACUGCUAAUACCGCAUACUGAAGGAGGGGAUUGCGUCUGAUUAGCUAGUUGGCGGGGUAACGGCCCACCAAGGCGAUGAUCAGUCGCCGGGAUGAGAGGAGGAACGGGCAAAAUGGGAAUGAGAGACGGCCCAGACGCCUACGGGAGGCAGCAGGGGGGAAACUGCCGCAAUGGACGAAAGUCUGACGGAGGAACGCCGCGGGAGUGAUGACGGCCUUCGGGUUGUAAAGCUAUGUUAAUCGGGACGAGGUACCGGAAUAGAAAGCCACGGCUAACUACGUGCCAGCAGCCGCGGUAAUAC
Molecule: ribosomal RNA, 408 nt
Filed under: uncultured bacterium
Lineage: Bacteria
Description: partial 16S ribosomal RNA
Rfam family: Bacterial small subunit ribosomal RNA
Source: RNAcentral